AUUGAACGCUGGCGGCAGGCCUAACACAUGCAAGUCGAACGAGUGGCGGACGGGUGAGUAAUGUCUGGGAAACUGCCUGAUGGAGGGGGAUAACUACUUGAAACGGUAGCUAAUACCGCAUACCAUCAGAUUUGCCCAGAUGGGAUUAGCUUGUUGGUGGGGUAACGGCUCACCAAGGCGACGAUCCAUAGCUGGUCUGAGAGGAUGACUAGCCCGACUGGAAAUGAAACACGGACAAGUCUCGUACGGUAGGCAGCAGUUGGGAGUGUUGCACAAUGGGCGUAAGUCUGAUGCAGCCAUGUCGCGUGUAUGAAGAUGGCCUUCGGGUUUGAAAGUACUUUCAGCGGGGAGGGGUUACCCGCAGAAGAAGCACCGGCUAACUCCGUGCCAGCAGCCGCGGUAAUUC
RNAcentral lists this ribosomal RNA (406 nucleotides) under uncultured bacterium. Its description in RNAcentral is "partial 16S ribosomal RNA". It matches the Rfam family "Bacterial small subunit ribosomal RNA", at positions 30 to 526 of the family's 1533-position model. The record is from RNAcentral.